UCCAGUCUGCUGUUUUGUUUCUCUCUUCAGCAGCAGUGAAUAGUGCUCUUUUGAAGUUUGUUUGUUGCCUGCUGGUCUAAAUGUAACCAUUUGGUAUAAGGAUGGAACGUUAAGUACUUUGUGCACUGGUGUGAUUAAAACUGGGAAGUGUGAAAGGAAGCUUCUGGAUACAUUAUUUCAUGCUGAAUUAAUUGUUUGAUAACAAGUACUCUAAAGACUGUUUGCAUUUAUUGGAAGUUAAAAAAGGAAGCAUCUAGAUACAUUUUUAUGCUGAAAGCAGCAAGUUCUCUGAAGACUGAAGCUUCUGGAUAUAUUAUUUUAUGCUGAAAACUCUCACAUAUCAAGCAGAGCUUGGGCCAAGUUUGCCAAUGACACAGUUCAGUAAUGAGCCUUACACUGGAUAUACGUGUUCAGGAUGUUGAAAGGACAACAGCAUUAUAAAGAACAACUCCACUGUUAAUCAGUUAAAAGCUAUCCUGCAAAUGAGUUACAGCAACGUUUCAUGAACAGAGACAACCUCUUCAAAAAGAGACGUGGAACCAGUUUUAAACUUAUUACAGCAACUCGCGCGUAAAAUUGACCAGUUUCAAAAUAGAAUGGAAUUAAUACAAGACAAAUGUACACAUCAGACUGAAAUUAAUAGGAAAGUCGUUAGAGACAUAAGUUCGCAAAUACAAGGUAAAGACAUUUGCUAACACUGAGGGGGGAAGGAGAGAUGAUGAGUUAUAUACCAUUUUCCUCUGAAAUAGAACAAAUGGUUAAAUCCAUGAAAAAAUGUGUUAGUUCCUCCUCUCACAAUUUUCUAUCUUAAGAAGGUAGUGAUAUGGUUACUUUCCUGACUACAUGGAUUCCUCAAAUCUUAAAUAUGCAAGAAUAAAUAUCAUUUGACGUAGUGAGGGUUACAAAAGCAAUUAGAAAUUCCAUUCUAAAAAUAUUGACCCCCCCACGAUCCAUUGUGAUAUGGUUUAAUUUAAAUGGAUAAAGUUAUAUUAACAGUUUUGGAAAAAUUCCCAGGAGAAAUUUGAGUGCCAGUUGCAAGGUUUGAUGAUGACUAAAGAAAAAAAAAAAAGUGUCGGGAACACAAAAAUGCUGGCUAUUGAAGAGAACACUAAAACAGAAUAAUAUAAAGUUCAUCUACUCUGUCCAUCUGGAAGUGAACUUUUUUAUCUCAACAGUGACACGAGGAUCUUUUGUCCUUUAGAAGAAAUUACUUCACAUGGCAAAAACUAGAUCAACAUUCCAAGCAGAGAAAUUUGGACUGGCCUGAUCCUACUCCUUUUUAAAACGAUCUUCAGGAAAAAUGAAUGGACAGAAACUUCAAGAAAAUGCUUAAGAUUCCAAUCCCUUUUAGUAAGAAGAGAGACAAAUAUGUUUCACAUGGACUAUAAAAUGGUAUAAGUUACUUAAUCUUUCUAAUAACUGAUAAUAUAGGUUUUUCUAUAAUUAGUACCCUAAAUAAUUGUUGCUGUAUAUAGAAACUAUCUGUAUUAACUCUGU
Protopterus annectens (West African lungfish) is the source of this 1497-nucleotide long non-coding RNA. RefSeq lists it as uncharacterized. The transcript has 3 exons. NCBI's taxonomy places the organism in Eukaryota, Metazoa, Chordata, Ceratodontiformes, Protopteridae. The record is from RefSeq and is a predicted model, not a curated record.